CAGGGUUGGUGAUUUAAAGUAGCAGAGAUAGUCAGUUGGCGCAAUGCUUUUGUCUUUGCAGCAUGAAAGAAUAUAGCACAGAUGGUUUACAAGAAAAGUUUUCUGACCAAAGUUGAGGAGAUAUGGCAAUCCGAUUUUAAAUGUCAAAGUAUGUUCCAAAGAAGCGUUGAGGCCUUUGCAGAGGAUGAUGGAGGCCAUUUGAGAGUAGAAUCAGACAGGAGAUAGGAGCACUCAAGGUAAGCUUUACCUCAUCAUUUCAUAAAUGGGGGUGAGAAUCAAUAUGAAGCAAAGAAGAUGGUUCAUAGUCACAAGAAUGGGAAAAUGCUAGAAACUAUGAAUUCACAUGGAGUCAGUUAUCAUAGCAAAUAAAACACAAGGUGGAGUGAAUCAAAGAAAACAUCAAUGGUGUACAAAAAGGUAACCACAGGAUGGGAAAACAUAUUUGCAAAUAUGGAUUUGACAACAGGUUACUAACCAGAAUAUAUAAAGAACACCUACAUCUCAAC
RNAcentral lists this long non-coding RNA (506 nucleotides) under Fukomys damarensis (Damara mole-rat). Its description in RNAcentral is "lncRNA (ENSFDAG00000027412.1)". Lineage: Eukaryota; Metazoa; Chordata; Mammalia; Rodentia; Bathyergidae. The record is from RNAcentral.